This 574-nucleotide long non-coding RNA is filed under the name Junco hyemalis (dark-eyed junco). RNAcentral's name for it is "lncRNA (ENSJHYG00000011266.1)". The record is from RNAcentral. Lineage: Eukaryota; Metazoa; Chordata; Aves; Passeriformes; Passerellidae.
UGUUGAGUUGUGGGACACAAGGAUGAUUUUGUUUCAGGGCUUUCCAAGAUCAUUAGCAUACUCUGAAAAUCAGUACGAGGCUGAUAUUUCCAGCUGCCUGUGAGAUUCUGUUGUGUGAGACAUACCCUGAAGAAGUGGUCAGUGUGCCACCAUUUGCACAGCCCAUCCUGUAGCACACAGGUUCAAGAACACAGGUUUGAGGAGUGAAGAGCUGACGAGUGCCCCCAGGCACCCCAAAAUGCCUCUGCCAGGUGUGACCAGAUCUCAGGCAGCAGCCACAGGGACAGGUGGCUCAGUAUAGCUGUUCUCUCAUACAUGCAGGGUUAAACUUGCUUGUCACCAGUUUCACUUUGGACUUGGAAAAUAAUUGCUUUGCUGGUUUGAGGUAAUGUGGACCUUGUGAACUCUUCAUCAAGCUCACUAUUCUAUCUUUGAUAAUAACCAUUCCUGAUGAAACAAGACAGGAUAAGCUCUCGCUGCAAUUUGAUGGUUCGUCCUUGAGCCUUCCUGAACUCAUAUGUUUCCUGUGGCACAAUACAAGUACCUUGGGGGAAUAAAACAGUAACCCUAAACA